UACGUAGGGUGCAAGCGUUAAUCGGAAUUACUGGGCGUAAAGCGUGCGCAGGCGGUUGGGCAAGACAGAUGUGAAAUCCCCGGGCUUAACCUGGGAACUGCAUUUGUGACUGCACGGCUAGAGUACGGUAGAGGGGGAUGGAAUUCCGCGUGUAGCAGUGAAAUGCGUAGAUAUGCGGAGGAACACCGAUGGCGAAGGCAGUCCCCUGGACCUGUACUGACGCUCAUGCACGAAAGCGUGGGGAGCAAACAGG
RNAcentral lists this ribosomal RNA (253 nucleotides) under uncultured bacterium. Its description in RNAcentral is "partial 16S ribosomal RNA". It matches the Rfam family "Bacterial small subunit ribosomal RNA", at positions 524 to 776 of the family's 1533-position model. The record is from RNAcentral.